Molecule: ribosomal RNA, 426 nt
Filed under: uncultured bacterium
Lineage: Bacteria
Description: partial 16S ribosomal RNA
Rfam family: Bacterial small subunit ribosomal RNA
Source: RNAcentral
GUGAGGAAUUUUCCGCAAUGGGCGAAAGCCUGACGGAGCAAUGCCGCGUGAAGGAUGAAGGCCUAUGGGUUGUAAACUUCUUUUCUUAGAGAAGAAUAUUGACGGUAUCUGAGGAAUAAGCAUCGGCUAACUUCGUGCCAGCAGCCGCGGUAAGACGAGGGAUCCUAGCGUUGCUCGGAAUCAUUGGGCGUAAAGAGGGCGUAGGUGGCUUGGUAAGUCAGGUGUGAAAGCCCAGGGCUCAACCCUGGAAGUGCAUUUGAUACUGCUGAGCUUGAGUGUCGGAGAGGUUACCGGAAUACCUGGUGUAGUGGUGAAAUACGUAGAUAUCAGGUGGAACACCGGAGGCGAAGGCGGGUAACUGGACGAACACUGACACUGAGGCCCGAAAGCGUGGGGAUCAAACAGGAUUAGAAACCCGGGUAGUCC